This 75-nucleotide transfer RNA is filed under the name Arsukibacterium ikkense. RNAcentral's name for it is "tRNA-Gln". It matches the Rfam family "tRNA". From Rfam's summary of the family: Transfer RNA (tRNA) molecules are approximately 80 nucleotides in length. Lineage: Bacteria; Pseudomonadati; Pseudomonadota; Gammaproteobacteria; Chromatiales; Chromatiaceae. RNAcentral also lists the same sequence under 2 other names. The record is from RNAcentral.
AGGGGCGUAGCCAAGCGGUAAGGCAGCGGGUUUUGAUCCCGCCACGCCCAGGUUCGAAUCCUGGCGCCCCUGCCA